AAGGAAGCUGAAGUCCAUUAUGGACGCCCGAAUGGAAGGCCAAUAUAGUUCAAAGGCAGCAAUACUUACUGCUCAGCUUACUAUAAAAUGCCUAGAAGGAGAACCUAAGAAGAGGCCUUCUAUGAAAGAAGUAGUGGAAGUAUUGGAACAAGUUGAAUUGAUAAAGGAGAAAUCAAAACCUUCCAAAAGCAAAUCCGAGUCUUCAUCUCAUCGAUACAAGCAGUCACCGAGAAGUUAUCCUUCUCCACGUGGUGCAAGCAACCAUGGAUCCGGAGCCGGAUCUGGAAGAUGACAGGUACAACUGGAAAGGCAAACGCGAGCUGCUGAAAAAUGAGUUUGUUUAUACAUUUAAUUGUAUUGAAUUUGUUGUAGUCCAAUUUGGUUUAAUCAUUGUUUUGGAUUACAAAUUUUGUAAAAUUGUCUGUCA
RNAcentral lists this unclassified non-coding RNA (427 nucleotides) under Hevea brasiliensis (rubber tree). Lineage: Eukaryota; Viridiplantae; Streptophyta; Magnoliopsida; Malpighiales; Euphorbiaceae. The record is from RNAcentral.